This 224-nucleotide ribosomal RNA is filed under the name uncultured bacterium. RNAcentral's name for it is "partial 16S ribosomal RNA". It matches the Rfam family "Bacterial small subunit ribosomal RNA", at positions 29 to 254 of the family's 1533-position model. The record is from RNAcentral.
AGUGAACGCUGGCGGCAUGCCUAACACAUGCAAGUCGAACGGUAACAGGCCCGCAAGGGUGCUGACGAGUGGCGGACGGGUGAGGAAUACAUCGGAAUCUGCCCGGUCGUGGGGGAUAACGUAGGGAAACUUACGCUAAUACCGCAUGAGACCGAGAGGUGAAAGCGGGGGAUCGCAAGACCUCGCGCGACUGGAUGAGCCGAUGUCGGAUUAGCUAGUUGGGG